GGUUUUAUAGUAAUAAUAAAAACGUCAAAUUGCAAAUUUGAAAAUGUGUAAACCACUAAAACUU
RNAcentral lists this transfer RNA (64 nucleotides) under Cambaroides similis. RNAcentral describes it as "tRNA-Cys". Lineage: Eukaryota; Metazoa; Arthropoda; Malacostraca; Decapoda; Cambaridae. The record is from RNAcentral.